RNAcentral lists this ribosomal RNA (338 nucleotides) under Varanus mitchelli. RNAcentral's name for it is "partial 12S ribosomal RNA". Lineage: Eukaryota; Metazoa; Chordata; Lepidosauria; Squamata; Varanidae. The record is from RNAcentral.
UAUAGCAGAGCAGGUAUCAGGCUCAACAACGUUAGCCCAUCACACCUUGCCAAGCCACAUCCCCACGGAUAAUCAGCAGUGACUAACAUUAGGCAAUAAGCGCACCAAGCUUGACCUAGCUAAUACUUUUUCCCAUGGCCGGCAAAUCUCGUGCCAGCAGCCGCGGUUACACGGGAGGCCAAAGAUAAUACCUAACGGCGUAAAGAGUGACUUCAGAUCUCCCCCACUACAGGACCCAAAAAUUCUACCUCAGAGAUGGAAUCCCAAGGUAACCAGAACUUCCAGUCAUCCUUCAGCAGGCCAUCCAACUCACGAAAACCGGGGCACAAACUAGGAUU